This 323-nucleotide ribosomal RNA is filed under the name uncultured soil bacterium. RNAcentral's name for it is "bacterial SSU rRNA". It matches the Rfam family "Bacterial small subunit ribosomal RNA", at positions 26 to 375 of the family's 1533-position model. The record is from RNAcentral.
AGAACGAACGCUGGCGGCAUGCCUAAUACAUGCAAGUCGAACGAACUCUUCGGAGUUAGUGGCGCACGGGUGCGUAACGCGUGGGAAUCUGCCCCUUGGUUCGGAAUAACAGUUGGAAACGACUGCUAAUACCGGAUGAUGACGAAAGUCCAAAGAUUUAUCGCCAAGGGAUGAGCCCGCGUAGGAUUAGCUAGUUGGUGAGGUAAAGGCUCACCAAGGCAACGAUCCUUAGCUGGUCUGAGAGGAUGAUCAGCCACACUGGGACUGAGACACGGCCCAGACUCCGUACGGGAGGCAGCAGGUAGGGAAUAGUUAGGACAAGU